Molecule: long non-coding RNA, 2662 nt
Organism: Oncorhynchus masou masou (cherry salmon)
Lineage: Eukaryota; Metazoa; Chordata; Actinopteri; Salmoniformes; Salmonidae
Exons: 3
Source: RefSeq, a predicted model, not a curated record
UUUUCCAUAGGGGAUUUUAUAACUACUUCAUAUAAGGUCUGUGUUUCGCGUAGUCUUACCCCGGCGUGACGUUUCGAUAACCGUGCAAAUCUCUAUCGUACAAAGUAACUUUAUAUAUUUGUCUGUAAUUAGCCCCUAAAAACAAGACUAAUUAUCCACUAGUGUGGCACAGAACUACACAUCUUGUCACAAGCUUUGAUGUCAUCCCUCAAGGCAAAUUUCUCCAUGCAAACUCAUCGACAAGUAUCAAAUACCCUAGCAAGUAGUGUAGAUAUUAUAGCCUUUUUAGUUUCUCCUGUAAAUAAUUGAUAUUGUGUUUCUUGUGUGGUGUUGUUUUAGCAUUUUUCAAAUUACCUAGCUAGCUAUCUUAACAUGUUUAAAAAAUAUCUAUAUUUUUUUAUUUCCCUCUGCCUUUGUAGCGAACUUGUUAACCUUAGGUCUCUCCAUCGAUCAGAAGCAAGGAUCGUACUGUGCUAUCUGCUCUGAUUUGAUCGUUUUCCAACCUUUAUGGGUGUACCGGAAACCUAGUUACAACACUCGGGUCUGCAGCUGCCAGUUUCCGGGUAGUCCAACAACAGUGCAUCCCUCAGGACAUCCGGUGCCAGUGUGAUCCAGUUGUAGAGGUUCAAGCCGGGGGACGGACAGAUCAAUAAUUCAUCAAGUAUGAUACAAUAGCGUAAAACGUUGGAUUAGAAGAUGCAUCGAAAGUUGACAUUGUCUCCUUUUCCCCAUGUUUUAGAGACAUGAGGCGUAACAUGCGGAACAUGGUUAGGUUAGACUGGGGAGAGCAGAGUGCCGACCACCCUACUAAAAGCUGACCACCCUACUAAAGCCAAGGUUAGAAGCAGUGCAUGAUCAACGCAUAGUAACCAGGAGGGGUAUGGUGUUGAUAUCGUGUAGGCAUAGUAACCAGGAGGGUUAUGGUGUUGAUAUCGUGUAGGCAUAGUAACCAGGAGUGGUAUGGUGUUGAUAUCGUGUAGGCAUAGUAACCAGGAGUGGUAUGGUGUUGAUAUCGUGUAGUCAUAGUAACCAGGAGGGGUAUGGUGUUGAUAUCGUGUAGGCAUAGUAACCAGGAGGGGUAUGGUGUUGAUAUCGUGUAGGCAUAGUAACCAGGAGGGGUAUGGUGUUGAUAUCGUGUAGUCAUAGUAACCAGGAGGGGUAUGGUGUUGAUAUCGUGUAGGCAUAGUAACCAGGAGGGGUAUGGUGUUGAUAUCGUGUAGGCAUAGUAACCAGGAGGGGUAUGGUGUUGAUAUCGUGUAGGCAUAGUAACCAGGAGGGGUAUGGUGUUGAUAUCGUGUAGUCAUAGUAACCAGGAGGGGUAUGGUGUUGAUAUCGUGUAGGCAUAGUAACCAGGAGUGGUAUUGUGUUGAUAUCGUGUAGGCAUAGUAACCAGGAGGGGUAUGGUGUUGAUAUCGUGUAGUCAUAGUAACCAGGAGUGGUAUGGUGUUGAUAUCGUGUAGGCAUAGUGACCAGGAGGGGUAUUGUGUUGAUAUCGUGAAGAGAUAGUAACCAGGGGGGGUAUGGUGUUGAUAUCGUGUAGGCAUAGUAACCAGGGGGGGUAUGGUGUUGAUAUCGUGUAGGCAUAGUGACCAGGAGGGCUAUGGUGUUGAUAUCGUGUAGGCAUAGUAACCAGGAGGGGUAUGGUGUUGAUAUCGUGUAGGCAUAGUAACCAGGAGGGGUAUGGUGUUGAUAUCGUGUAGGCAUAGUAACCAGGAGGGGUAUGGUGUUGAUAUCGUGUAGUCAUAGUAACCAGGAGGGGUAUGGUGUUGAUAUCGUGUAGGCAUAGUAACCAGGAGGGGUAUGGUGUUGAUAUCGUGUAGGCAUAGUAACCAGGAGGGGUAUGGUGUUGAUAUCGUGUAGGCAUAGUAACCAGGAGGGGUAUGGUGUUGAUAUCGUGUAGUCAUAGUAACCAGGAGGGGUAUGGUGUUGAUAUCGUGUAGGCAUAGUAACCAGGAGUGGUAUGGUGUUGAUAUCGUGUAGGCAUAGUAACCAGGGGGGGUAUGGUGUUGAUAUCGUGUAGGCAUAGUAACCAGGAGUGGUAUGGUGUUGAUAUCGUGUAGGCAUAGUAACCAGGGGGGUAUGGUGUUGAUAUCGUGUAGUCAUAGUAACCAGGGGGGGUAUGGUGUUGAUAUCGUGUAGUCAUAGUAACCAGGGGGGUAUGGUGUUGACAUCGUCCGUAUCUAAAGAACAAAAGGCAGUCCCUCCAAGAUUUCGCAACAUUUUUUUGGAAUAUCUGCAGCCAAAAAUGCUUGAUUUUGCCGCAGCUUUUCUGAAAUUCUGCGAUACACUUCACAAUGUUUUUUUGUUGUUGCGAUAAUUUCAUUUAAACCAGUAAAAGUCAUAUGUGCUCAGUUUUAGGACCACUUUAAGCAGAAAACAUCAUACAAAAACAAUUAAACAUAUAAAGUGCUCAAUUGUGUUUAUUUUCCUGAACAAACAACUCAUAAUAACUCAACGUCAUAAUCCACUCACACCUCUCCUCUCCAUCAGGCUUGGGGCUUGCAAUCAACACAAGAUGCACCUCCUAUUCCAUCUCUCUCUCUCCCUCUAUGCCUCUCCCCCUCUAUUUCUCCCUCUCUCCCUCUCUCUUAAAAAAACAAAUAGAUUCAAAGCUGAUCAAUCACCUUUCAAUUUGAGGAUCGAUAUUUCUUUCAAAUAAAUU